CCCUUUAGCCUUUUGUUCAUAAAUUUUGGUAAUAUUAUUUUCAAGUUCUUCAAUAUCUUUAUCUAAAAAGUUAUUCUCAGAUUCUUGUUCAUCUCUAAUUUUCAAUUUUAUUUCUAAUUUUUUUUCAAGAGUUCGUAAAUUUUCUCUUGUACGUUUGGCUUUAGAUUUACAAUAAGCUAUAGUUGUCUCCCUUACCUUUAUUUUAAAUAUAUCCCAUGCUAAACCAAGAUUUUGUUAAAUUACGAUUACCCUUAAAGCAGCUUUCCAGUUCUUUAUCAACUAAUUUUAUGUAGUCAUUAUCUUCUAAUAUAGAAUUAUUUAUUUUCCAGUACCCCCUUCCCUUUUCUGAUGCACCAGUUCUAAAUCUCAUAAAAACACUUUGAUGAUCCGUAGAAUCAAUAACUGCAGGUUUAAUUUUGCAACAUUCUACUAGUGGUAUGAAGUCUGAACCUAUAAGAAUCAUAUCAAUCCUACUUGCCUGCGAUUUAUCUUUUCUCCGCCAAGUAUAUUGUUGUUUAUUCUUAUUUGAAU
This 531-nucleotide long non-coding RNA is filed under the name Mytilus galloprovincialis (Mediterranean mussel). Lineage: Eukaryota; Metazoa; Mollusca; Bivalvia; Mytilida; Mytilidae. The record is from RNAcentral.